Molecule: long non-coding RNA, 1530 nt
Organism: Falco peregrinus (peregrine falcon)
Lineage: Eukaryota; Metazoa; Chordata; Aves; Falconiformes; Falconidae
Exons: 2
Source: RefSeq, a predicted model, not a curated record
GUCCAGGAUCUCCAAAUCCAGUUUCUUUGAGGAUGACCUAAGGAAGGGGAGGGCUCAUCUGGAGGCAGAGGUUGCAGACCCAAAAUCAGCAGUCUGAAGUCCUCCUGGAAACAGUUGCCAACCACUCAGACGUGGGUUUGAUCACUGCCGGUGUGUACAGCUCUUCUCAGGAAGUCUGCAUGAGCCAUCAGAUGGAGCCACUAGGUGAUCCCAGCAUCUAGGGACACCUACAGAAUGUUUCAUCCCAAGGUGAGGAAGACAUGGAUGGCACCAAUGGCACAGUCUCAAGGGAGCCAACUUCUUGAUCCAAUUCCUGUGGCAAAGCAUGUUAUGCCAUGUCAGCUCAGCCAUGGGAGGAGUCCAUGUUUUAACUACUGGUCAGGUGCAAGUAUGAGAUAUUAGAUGCAAGCUCCUCUACCUUUUAUUUUCUGGCCUCCUAGAUAGUCAGAGUGGUAGGUAAUUAGGUGGGGACAUAAUUUAAUGAUUAAUAGCAAAUGCCAAGCAGUGCAACACAGGCACCUUGGGUAAGGACUGUGAGGACAGCAAGUUUUGCCUUUUACAAAGGGGUGCAGUAGGGUGAUUUUUUUUUUUUUUUUUAAAGAUUCAGUUGCAUGUCAGCAUAGCUCUGUGGUUAAACAUUGCCUAUGAAAUCCUACAUCAGUAAGACACAGUUAAAUCCGUGUCAUCUACCAAGAGAAAUGAGACAUUCCAUCAUGACUUGCAUACAUUAUAUUAAUUUUGUUAGUUCUUUGCUGGAGAGCGGAAAAAGAACAAAUAAUAAGAUGGUUGAUUACACAAUCCUGACAUUUGUCCACUUGCUGUUGCUUUUUUUGCCCCCUCUUUAGCCAAGAAAGACAUGAGCAUCAGGCAGCAGAUGGAUUUCCCUGAGGGACCUGAACUAGUGCCAUGCCACAGCCAACAGCUUCAGCCACUUGGAAAAAGUGCUGUGAUGCAUCUUCCAAAAACUGUUGCCAGGGCUUCAUAAUAUUUGAUAAUUAGACCAGGGUUGUUUACUGUAUGGUAGCAGCUACACUCAGUACAGACUUGUUCCUUUAUUAUGCACUGGUUCAAUCUGUUUGUGUAACACUUUACAUGUGGUGAUAAUGUCAGUAAAACAUCAGCUGUAGUGUACUCCUAUUUACUAAACUCUGAAUGUCUCUGUUUUGCUUUUUCCAGACUCCUGACGAUAGAUGGAUUUCAACUGUCUUUAGUUUUAAAAGAAAGAAAACCACUAUGUGUAAUUGAUUACUGUGAGAUCGGUCUAUUAUCCUACCUCAAAUCUGUCCCGUAAUCUUAUAAUACUUCACCCCAGCCUUUGUUCAUCGCCACCCUCAGCCGCCUUCUCCAUCAGCUGUUAGUCAGCACCUCCAUGUUUCUUCUCUGAGACAUCUACCCAAGGUGCCAGAGGCAGGUGCAGGAGACAGGCACAGCUGCUCAUGAUAGUUUUAACAUGAAUGCCAUGUUUUCCAAUUGUAAACUAUUACCAUCAUUUGUUUUCCUUAGUGAAAUGAAAACAACCAAAAAAGCGAA